RNAcentral lists this transfer RNA (135 nucleotides) under Cordylochernes scorpioides. Its description in RNAcentral is "tRNA-Ala". The record is from RNAcentral. Lineage: Eukaryota; Metazoa; Arthropoda; Arachnida; Pseudoscorpiones; Chernetidae.
GAGCCUAUAGCCUAGUGGUCAUGGCAUCUGCCCGGCAUCUAUCCGUGAACUUCACACAGACAGAAUAAGGCAAUUAUAUAAGUAGACUGCCCGGUAAGCGGAAGGUCGUGGGUUCGAUUCCCAUCCCUUGACACU